GAUGAACGCUGGCGGCGUGCUUAACACAUGCAAGUCGAACGAAGCACUUUAUUUGAUUUCCUUCGGGACUGAUUAUUUUGUGACUGAGUGGCGGACGGGUGAGUAACGCGUGGGUAACCUACCUUGUACAGGGGGAUAACAGUUGGAAACGGCUGCUAAUACCGCAUAAGCGCACGGCAUCGCAUGAUGCAGUGUGAAAAACUCCGGUGGUAUGAGAUGGACCCGCGUCUGAUUAGCUAGUUGGUGAGGUAACGGCCCACCAAGGCAACGAUCAGUAGCCGACCUGAGAGGGUGACCGGCCACAUUGGGACUGAGACACGGCCCAGACUCCUACGGGAGGCAGCAGUGGGGGAUAUUGCACAAUGGAGGAAACUCUGAUGCAGCGACGCCGCGUGAGUGAAGAAGUAUUUCGGUAUGUAAAGCUCUAUCAGCAGGGAAGAAAAUGACGG
RNAcentral lists this ribosomal RNA (449 nucleotides) under uncultured bacterium. RNAcentral's name for it is "bacterial SSU rRNA". It matches the Rfam family "Bacterial small subunit ribosomal RNA", at positions 28 to 457 of the family's 1533-position model. The record is from RNAcentral.